AUACGGAGGGUGCAAGCGUUAUCCGGAAUCACUGGGUUUAAAGGGUGCGUAGGCGGCCAUAUUAGUCAGUAGUGAAAGGUUGCAGCUUAACUGUAAGACUGCUAUUGAAACUGUAUGGCUUGAAUUAGGAUGAGGUAGGCGGAAUGUGACAUGUAGCGGUGAAAUGCUUAGAUAUGUCAUAGAACACCGAUUGCGUAGGCAGCUUACUAGACCUAUAUUAACGCUGAGGCACGAAAGCGUGGGGAGCGAACAGGAUUAGAGACCCUAGUAGUCC
This 274-nucleotide ribosomal RNA is filed under the name uncultured bacterium. Its description in RNAcentral is "partial 16S ribosomal RNA". It matches the Rfam family "Bacterial small subunit ribosomal RNA", at positions 523 to 796 of the family's 1533-position model. The record is from RNAcentral.